UACGUAGGGUGCAAGCGUUGUCCGGAAUUAUUGGGCGUAAAGAGCUCGUAGGCGGUUUGUCGCGUCGAAUGUGAAAACCCGGGGCUCAACCCCGGGCCUGCAUUCGAUACGGGCAGACUAGAGUUCGGUAGGGGAGUCUGGAAUUCCUGGUGUAGCGGUGAAAUGCGCAGAUAUCAGGAGGAACACCGAUGGCGAAGGCAGGUCUCUGGGCCACUACUGACGCUGAGAAGCGAAAGCGUGGGGAGCGAACAGG
RNAcentral lists this ribosomal RNA (253 nucleotides) under uncultured bacterium. RNAcentral's name for it is "partial 16S ribosomal RNA". It matches the Rfam family "Bacterial small subunit ribosomal RNA", at positions 524 to 776 of the family's 1533-position model. The record is from RNAcentral.